UACGGAGGGGGCGAGCGUUAUUCGGAAUUAUUGGGCGUAAAGGGCGCGUAGGCGGCUUGAUGUGUCAAAGGUGAAAUCCCUCGGCUCAACGGAGGAACUGCCUUUGAAACUGUCUGGCUUGAGGCCGGGAGAGGGUAGCGGAAUUCCCAGUGUAGCGGUGAAAUGCGUAGAUACUGGGAGGAACACCGGUGGCGAAGGCGGCUACCUGGACCGGUUCUGACGCUGAUGCGCGAAAGCGUGGGUAGCAAACAGG
RNAcentral lists this ribosomal RNA (253 nucleotides) under uncultured bacterium. Its description in RNAcentral is "partial 16S ribosomal RNA". It matches the Rfam family "Bacterial small subunit ribosomal RNA", at positions 524 to 776 of the family's 1533-position model. The record is from RNAcentral.